CAUUUGCCAUCAUCUUUACCUUUGGUGCCAGAGAUGUAAACUUGAUUGAUCAGUGCUGAUAGGGGAAUAGAAAAGAUUUUAAAAAAAUACUGCUCAUAAACAAAUCCCAGCUAGUUUUGAACAUUUUCACAAGCAAACAAUAAAUUUAGCUAAUAUUUUUAGUUACAUAAUAACAGAAACAUUUCCUGUUCUAUGAAAUUUAUUGUUGGUAUUUCUGUAGAUACUGUGAUUGUCACAAGAAAGAAAAUAUUUCAAAUACAUGAAUUUAUGUUCUGCUGAACAUGAUAUUUACAUGGCUUGUCUUCAUUCGCAGGUUCUCCUACCCCUACCAACCCCUCACUCUUCUGCCAUCUAGUGGUUAUAUUUCCAUAUUGCAUUGCCACAGGCUUUAUAAUUUCCAUUUACUGCUGCAAGAAGACAGGAAAGACACCAGCUGUAUCCAUGGAGAUGGCACAAAAUGCUGAAAGUUUUGAGAGUGCUGGUGUCACCACAGUGCAUAACUUCUAACAAAAAAGUUGCACAGAAAGGUACAACAGAUCUCAUUAUUUACAAUAUAUGAUCUGUAAUGGCAUAUAAUGUAAUAAAAAUCUUGCAAAAUAAAUUCAUGACUGGAUCACAUCAUCAAACAACACCAGUACUGUUGUGUCCUGAGUCACUUCACAGCGCUGUUUUCUAGAAAUCACAAAAUACAAUGUAAUGGACGGAGGAUAAAAACAGAGAAAGACUAAUUUACUUUUACAGGAGAACAAGAUCAUUUCUUUAACAAUGUAUACUUCAUUGAACCCCAUGGGGGGAAAUUCCUUCUCUGCAAUUGUGGGCAGCCACCAAUCUAGUGAAUUCAUAUGAUGACAAGAAACAAUCAGCUAAGUAAAGAUAAAUGAAAGUCCGUCAUUACUUUAAGAAUUGAAGGUCAGUCAGUCUGGAAAAUUGCUAAAACCUUUAAUGUGUCCACAAGUGCAGUUGCAAAAACCAUCAAGCGCUACCACGAAACUGGCUCACAUGAGGACCACUCCAGGAAAGGAAGAGUAACCUCUGCUGCUGAGGAUAAAUUAUUCGAGAACAUUACACAAAUAAGGCCUUUAUGGUCAAAUAGCUGCUAAGAGACUACUAAAAUAGAACGGGGCUUUGGAGUUGACGUCACGCCGCAGUCCAUUGUGGGAGUGCGGCACCAUUUUAGCAGGCCACAAAUCCAAACAAACACAUUGUAUUGGAAGGAAGAUUCCUACAAACCAUACUUAAAAGCAGCUCAAAUGAAAAAGGACGUUAUAGAGACAGAUUGCAUCCACAUGCAAAGAGACGGUACUGUUAUGUGAAGGCUGUGUGCAGGCAGGAGUAGUAGUAGGAGGACCCAAGGUGCAGACACUCGGAGGCAAAACUUGAACUCAAAACAGCUUUAAUGCUAAACUCAAAUGUAACAUAACUGGAUAUAUCAAAAUAAACUUACACUGGAAGACUAACAGAACACAGCAAGAAAAGGGUAGAUCGCGACACGGACACAGAGAAACACAGGGCUUAAAUUCACAGAGGGAGCAAUCAGGGAAUGGGCAACAGGAGGGAAACACAACUGGGGCAAAUCAGGCCUAACGAGACAAAGGAAGCAGAACCAGAUACAUUAACAUAAGAUAUGCACCUCCAAAGUAAAACAGGAAACAUAACACAGACUGAACUUAAAGACACAGACUCACAGACAGGCACUACAGAGGGAACAGAGACGUGGGACCAGGGCAGACACAGACACUGACUGGACAUGGGGAUAUAGCUGACAGGGGAGACAGCAACUAAGGAUAACACAGAGACAUAAACCAAAAGACACAACUCUAACAAAGAAACCAAAGACUAGAAAUGAUAAAUAAUAUAAUAAACUCAAAACCCUGGGUCAACGACCCAGGCAUCCUAACAGGUACUUGCAGAAAAUAGCGUGCAUUGGAAAUGUGGACCCGUAUGAAAUACGGCAGUGGAGUAGAAACCCACAAGACCAACCACGAUUGACUUAGCCUGAUAUAUUAUUGUACCUGUGGAGUCAGCGCAUACACGGCGAACCAAUUUCGCAAUUCUCUGGAGGAUUGAGUACAAGAUUUGGCUAUUUUUAAGCCUCCAAGCUGUGAAUACGUCGUCAUUCAAACAAAGGUAAGUCAACUUGUGUACUGCGAGUGAAAUGCGUUUGAUUUCCCUCCGGACAUUCAGAUUAGUGCAAGCAUAAAUUCAUUCAUGAGGGGGAAAUUACAGUGAGAACAUGUGGAGGCUGUUAGAUGGAUAAUAUAGUGAGUUCAGUGCAUUGAUGUGACAUUGUCCUGAAGGAUUUAGUCAUUCUUUAAGGUUAAAGAAAUUGCACUAAUUAAUUCACAUUUAUUAUAAAUAAUCCUAAUUAUACAUAUUGCUUCAUUGUUUGUGUCCUGUGUCACUAAGAAUAUAUUCUAUUUUAGUUUUAUACAUUGAUCAAUGACCUGCAAAAUCUCCUUAUCAUAUUAGGUGAUUCAUAAUUGUCAU
Long non-coding RNA from Oreochromis niloticus (Nile tilapia), 2487 nucleotides. NCBI's taxonomy places the organism in Eukaryota, Metazoa, Chordata, Actinopteri, Cichliformes, Cichlidae. The record is from Ensembl.